Canis lupus familiaris (dog) is the source of this 5589-nucleotide RNA transcript. It is a transcript of the gene named ATPase, Cu++ transporting, beta polypeptide-like, with no coding region annotated. The record is from RefSeq and is a predicted model, not a curated record. The transcript has a single exon. NCBI's taxonomy places the organism in Eukaryota, Metazoa, Chordata, Mammalia, Carnivora, Canidae.
GCUAAACUACUAUCCCCUUAGGAAUGAAAGGAAGCAUAUGAUACCUUGUUUGCUGGUAGGAUCAUUUAGAUAGAUUUCCUCCUUAUGGGUAGUUUUUGGAGGACAACCAAGGAAGAAUUUACACAUGAAACCUGGCUCUUUGGCACAGCUGUGACUAUGAAAUAUGUUAAACAUUAAAGCCAGAUUUUCCUGGCUUCCUGGCUGAUGAGGCUUAAUGGCUUCAGGAAAAAUGUUCCAAAGUGUCAAGCAGCCACUCCCAGUGAAGAGAAGGGGGUUCCAGGCAGGGAAAGGCAGCCCUACCUCCUCAAAAAAAAAAAAAAAAAAGGUUGCAGGGUUGGAGAGAAAUGUUUACAAAGGAAAAGGAGCCUAUCUGGAGAAAAUUUGCAUUUUGUUAGGAAUGCAGGGACCAGAUAGCCAGUCAUUCUCCAGCAAAGAAUUUUUAAAAGACAGAUUAUUUGUAACCUGAUUCUGAAACUUGGAGGAACCAGGGCCUACCUUGGAAAGGUUAGAUGGGGCUGAAGACAGCGCCUUGGGUAGUCUUGGUAGAUGGAAUGGGCUAAGCCCUUUGUGGCCUUCCCCCCACCCCCUCCUGAAUUGAAUUCGGCAGCUUAAUUUCUCCCAAGAGGUUCACGGUGUUGGUCAUCCCUGAGAACCAAGCCCAGAGGAGACUUUGAUGUUUUGCACAUUGACUCACCAGAGGACUCUCUGAGGUGGCUGUGCGCUUUCUUCUUGGAAUCUGAGCCAGCCUGGUCAGUGAGAAGUCUGUGAGAAGAAUGAAACUAGGGUUCCUGGGAGUGCACGUGGCCGAAAGGAGACUGUGCUGAGCUCCAGAGGCAGAGGUGCUUACGUGCGGGCUCCUGCACAUGCCAGCCGGGCUGGGGGCCGCUGAGGGCACGCGUGGGGCCGUGUGCAGAGGUCCUCGGUGCUGAAUGCAGUGUGAUGAGCGAGAGGGUGCCCAUUGGCUGGAAGCAUAUCCUGUCUAAACUUUCUUUGCCCACUCGUGCCUGGGAACCAGUGAUGAAGCAGAGCUUCGCCUUUGACAAUGUUGGCUACGAAGGUGGCCUGGACAGUGUGUGCCCUCCUCAGACGGCCACCAGCACCAUCAGCAUUCUGGGUAUGACCUGCCAGUCAUGUAUAAGGUCCAUGGAGGGCAGGAUCUCCAGUUUGAAAGGCAUCGUGAGCAUUAAGGUUUCCCUGGAACAAGGCAAUGCGACUGUGAGGUACGUGCCGUUCAUUCUGAGCCUGCCGCAGGUUUGCCGUUGCAUUGAGGACAUGGGCUUCGAGGCCAGCAUUGCAGAAGGAAAGGUUGCCUCCUGGCCCUUGAGGUCCUUGCCUGGCCUCGAGGCUGUGGUCAGACUUUGGGUGGAGGGCACCCAGGCCCUGACAGGACCUGCCAGUCCUGUGUCAGCUCCAUCGAAGGCAAGCUCAGAAAGCUGCAAGGGGUAGCAAGAGUCCGGGUCUCCCUCAGCACCCAGGAGGCAGUCAUCACUUACUAGCCUUAUCUUAUUCAACCCCAGGACCUCAGGGACCAUGUACACGACAUGGGGUUUGAAGCUGUCAUCAAGAACAGAGUGGCACCCGUAAGUCUGGCACCCAUUGAUAUUGGGCGGUUACGGAGGGCCAACCCAAAGAUGCCUUUGACUUCUGAUAACCAGAAUCUCAAUAACUCUGAGACCUUGGGCUACCAAGGGAGCCAUGUGGUUACCCUGUAGCUGAGACGCGACGGAAUGCACUGUCAGUCUUGUGUCCUGAACAUUGAAGAGAAUAUAGGCCAACUCCCCGGGGUUCAGAAUGUACAAGUGUCCUUGGAGAACAGAAUGGCCCAAGUACAGUACGACCCUUCUUGUGUCACCGCAGGGGCCCUGCAGAGGACCAUUGAAGCUCUCCCACCAGGGAACUUUAAAGUUUCUCUUCCUGCAGCAGCAGGAAGUAAGACAGGUAACAGGUUUUCCGCAUGUGCCGUCCCCACCCCCACCCCGAGAACCCCGGCACCGGGCAGGUGCAAUACUGUGAUGCUCGCCAUUGCGGGCAUGACCUGUGCAUCCUGCGUCCAGUCCAUCGAAGGCCUGAUCUCCCAGAGGGAAGGGGUGCAGCAAAUAUCUGUCUCUCUGGCUGAAGGGACUGCAGUGGUGCUCUAUGAUCCCUCUAUAAUUGGCCUGGAAGAACUCCGAGCUGCCGUCGAGGAGAUGGGAUUUGAGACUUCAGUCCUCUCUGAAAACGGUUACAGCAAUCAUGUUGGAAACUACAGUGUGGGGAAUUCCUCGGCGCACACCACAGCCGGCGUACCUGUGUCUGUGCAGGAAGGGGCUCCCCAUGCUGAGGGGCUCCCUGGAAACCACAGCCCUGGUCGCCCGUCCAGGUCCCCACCAGCCUCUACCUCUGUGGCAGCACAGAAGUGUUUUUUGCAGAUCACAAGCAUGACCUGUGCAUCCUGUGUGUCCAACAUAGAGAGGAAGCUGCAGAAAGAAGCAGGCGUCGACUCGGUGCUGGUUGCCCUGAUGGCCAGAAAGGCAGAGGUGAAGUAUCACCCAGACGUCAUCCAGCCACUGGAGAUCGCUCAGCUCAUCCAGGACCUAGGCUUUGAGGUGACGGUGCUGGAAGACUACGCGGGCUCUGAUGGCGACCUGGAGCUGAUCAUCACGGGGAUGACCUGCACUUCCUGUGUUCACAACAUAGAGUCCAAACUCAAGAGGAUGGCCGGCAUCACCUAUGCCUCUGUGGCCGUCGCCACCAGCAAAGCCCACGUGAAGUUCGAUCCUGAAAUCAUCGGUCCGCGAGAUAUUGUCAAAGUUAUCGAGGAAAUCGGCUUUCAUGCUUCCCCAGCCCAGAGAAACCCCAAUGCACAUCACUUGGACCACAAGGUGGAAAUAAAGCAGUAGAAGAAGUCUUUUCUGUGCAUCCUGGUGUUCGGCAUCCCUGUGAUGGGUCUGAUGAUCUACAUGUUGGUGCCCAGCAGCAUGCCCCAUGAGUCCAUGGUCCGGGACCACAACGUCAUUCCAGGACUGUCCAUUCUGAAUCUCAUCUUCUUCAUCCUGUGUACCUUUGUCCAGCUCCUUGGUGGGUGGUACUUCUACGUCCAGGCCUACAGGUCUCUGAGGCACAGGGCGGCCAACAUGGAAGUGCUCAUUGUGCUGGCCACAAGCAUCGCCUACACCUACUCGCUCGUCAUCCUGGUGGUGGCCGUGGCUGAGAGGGCGGAGAGGAGCCCUGUGACCUUCUUCGACAAUCCCCCCCCCCCCCCCCCCCCCCCCGCCCCAUGCUCUUUGUGUUCAUUGCCCUGGGGCAGUGGCUGGAACACACAGCAAAGAGCAAAACCUCAGAAGCCCUUGCCAAACUCCUGUCUCUCCAAGCCACAGAAGCCACCGUCAUGACCCUUGGCGAGGACAACUUGAUCCUCAGAGAGGAGCAGGUACCCAUGGAGCUGGUGCAGCUGGGCGAUGUCAUCAAGGUGGUGACAGGAGGAAAGUUCCCGGUGGAUGGGAAAGUCCUGGAGGGCAAUACCAUGGCCGACGAGUCCCUCAUCACAGGAGAAGCCAUGCCUGUCACGAAGAAACCCGGGAGCACGGUGAUUGCCGGAUCCAUGAAUGCACAUGGCUCUGUGCUCGUUACCGCCACCCACGUGGGCAACGAUACCAUGUUGGCUCAGAUCGUGAAGUUGGUAGAAGAGGCUCAGAUGUCAAAGACCCCUAACAAGCAUAUCUCCGAGGCGGAGGUGAUCAUCCGGUUUGCGUUCCAGACGUCCAUCACGGUGCUGUGCAUCGUCUACCCCCUGAUCCCUGGGCUUGGCCACGCCCACAGCGGUCAUGGUGGGCACCGGGGUGGCCGCCCAGAAUGGCAUUCUCAUCAAAGGAGGCAAGCCUCUGGAGAUGGCCCACAAGAUAAAGACCGUGAUGUUUGACAAAACUGGCACCAUUACGCACGGGGUCCCCAAAGUCAUGAGGGUCCUCCUGCUGGUGGAUGUGGCCACGCUGCCCCUUAGGAAGGUCCUCGCCGUGGUGGGGACUGCGGAGGCCAGCAUGGCCAUCACCAAGUACCAUAAAGAGGAACUGGGAACGGAGACAUUGGGAUACUGCACGGACUUCCAGGCAGUGCCAGUCUGCAGAAUUGGCUGCAAAGUCAGUAGCGUGGAGGGCAUCCUGGCCCCCGGCGAGCGCCAGCAGAGCAAACAGGCCGCUCCCCCGGGCAUGGUUGGUGGCGUUCCCGAGGAAACAGAUGAGACGCCCCAGACCUUCUCCGUGCUGAUUGGGAACCGUGAAUGGAUGAGGCGCAACGGCCUGACCAUAUCCAGCGACAUCAGUGACGCGAUGGCGGACCAUAAGAUGAAAGGCCUGAGAGCCAUCCUGGUGGCCAUCGACGGUGUGCUGUGCGGGAUGAUCGCCAUCGCCGACACCGUCAAGCAGGAGGCAGCCCUGGCUCUGCACAUGCUCAAGAGCAUCGGCAUGGACGUGGUCCUGAUCACAGGAGACAACCGCAAGACGGCCAGAGCCAUUGCCACCCAGGUUGGCAUCAACGAGGUCUUUGCAGAGGUGCUCCCGUCUCACAAGGUGGCCAAGGUCCAGGAGCUCCAGAACGAAGGGAAGAAAGUCGCCAUGGUGGGAGACGGGGUUAAUGACUCUCCAGCCCUGGCCCGGGCCGACGUGGGGAUUGCCAUCGGGACGGGCACAGAUGUUGCCAUCGAGGCUGCUGACGUCGUCCUCAUCAGAAACGAUCUGCUGGACGUGGUGGCCAGCAUUCACCUCUCCAAGAGGACCGUGUGGAGGAUACGCCUCAACCUGGUGCUGGCACUGAUCUAGAACCCGGUCGGGAUACCCAUUGCGGCGGGGGUCUUCAUGCCCAUCAGCGUCGUGCUGCAGCUGUGGAUGGGCUCGGCGGCUAUGGCGGCCUCCUCCGUGUCUGUGGUGCUCUCAUCGCUGCAGCUCAAGUGCUAUAAGAAGCCCGACCUGGAGAGGUACGAGGCCCAGGCGCAGGGCCGCAUGAAGCCCCUGACGGCGUCCCAGGUCAGCGUGCACAUUGGCAUGGAUGACCGGCGGCGGGACUCCCCGCGGGCCACGCCCUGGGACCAGGUCAGCCGUAUCAGCCAGGUGUCUCUGUCCUCCCUGAAGUCCGACAACAAGCUGUCCCGACACAGCGCCGCAGCCGACGACAGCGGGGACACAUGGUCUCUGCUGCUGAACGACCAUGACGAGGAGCAGUGCAUCUGAGCGCUGCAGGCGGGCGCAACCCGCUCCGGCUCCUCGGCUCCUCGGAGGAGCGGCCCAGCUGUCCGCAGUGAGGAGGCGGGGCUCCUGGCCUGGCCCCACGUCCCCCCCGGUCUCGCCCGGUCCCGCCCGGUCUCCGGCCUGGCCACCCACGCUGUGGGCGUGGGCCUGCCCCCAACUGCUGGACCCACGGGGCCAGGACGGCCCGCCCCCCGCUUUAGCACUUGCAGUGACCACUUGUGAGAUGAUCUCAUCAGGACCAAAAACCUCGCUGGGCCUUGCCUUAGGACCCCCAGGAGCCUCACGUUGGGUUCUUCCUGAUGCCACAGUUUACCUCAAAUACACCCACUGAUCUCUGCGGGCAAAAAAAAAAAAAAAAAAAAAAAAAAAA